CCUACGGGAGGCAGCAGUGAGGAAUAUUGGUCAAUGGCCGAGAGGCUGAACCAGCCAAGUCGCGUGAGGGAAGACGGCCCUACGGGUUGUAAACCUCUUUUGUCGGGGAGCAAAGCGAGUCACGUGUGACUCAUUGAGAGUACCCGAAGAAUAAGCCACGGCUAACUACGUGCCAGCAGCCGCGGUAAUACGUAGGUGGCAAGCGUUAUCCGGAUUUAUUGGGUGUAAAGGGCGUGUAGGCGGGAGCGCAAGUCAGAUGUGAAAACUCAGGGCUCAACCCUGAGCCUGCAUUUGAAACGGGGUUUCUUGAGUGCUGUAGAGGCAAUCGGAAUUCCGUGUGUAGCGGUGAAAUGCGUAGAUAUACGGAGGAACACCAGUGGCGAAGGCGGAUUGCUGGACAGUAACUGACGCUGAGGCGCGAAAGCGUGGGGAGCAAACAGGAUUAGAUACCCGUGUAGUC
This 460-nucleotide ribosomal RNA is filed under the name uncultured bacterium. RNAcentral's name for it is "partial 16S ribosomal RNA". It matches the Rfam family "Bacterial small subunit ribosomal RNA", at positions 338 to 795 of the family's 1533-position model. The record is from RNAcentral.